GAAUAUUGGACAAUGGGGGCAACCCUGAUCCAGCAAUGCCGCGUGAGUGAUGAAGGCCUUAGGGUUGUAAAGCUCUUUUACCCGGGAUGAUAAUGACAGUACCGGGAGAAUAAGCCCCGUCUAACUCCGUGCCAGCAGCCGCGGUAAUACGGAGGGGGCUAGCGUGGUUCGGAAUUACUGGGCGUAAAGCGCACGUAGGCGGCGAUUUAAGUCAGAGGUGAAAGCCCGGGGCUCAACCCCGGAAUAGCCUUUGAGACUGGAUUGCUUGAACAUCGGAGAGGUGAGUGGAAUUCCGAGUGUAGAGGUGAAAUUCGUAGAUAUUCGGAAGAACACCAGUGGCGAAGGCGGCUCACUGGACGAUUGUUGACGCUGAGGUGCGAAAGCGUGGGGAGCAAACAG
RNAcentral lists this ribosomal RNA (399 nucleotides) under uncultured bacterium. RNAcentral's name for it is "bacterial SSU rRNA". It matches the Rfam family "Bacterial small subunit ribosomal RNA", at positions 359 to 775 of the family's 1533-position model. The record is from RNAcentral.